RNAcentral lists this ribosomal RNA (250 nucleotides) under uncultured bacterium. Its description in RNAcentral is "partial 16S ribosomal RNA". It matches the Rfam family "Bacterial small subunit ribosomal RNA", at positions 355 to 597 of the family's 1533-position model. The record is from RNAcentral.
UGGGGAAUUUUGGACAAUGGGGGCAACCCUGAUCCAGCCAUGCCGCGUGCGGGAAGAAGGCCUUCGGGUUGUAAACCGCUUUUAGCCGGGAAGAAAAGGCGUCGUCUAAUACACGGCGUUCUUGACGGUACCGGCGGAAUAAGCACCGGCUAACUACGUGCCAGCAGCCGCGGUAAUACGUAGGGUGCGAGCGUUAAUCGGAAUUACUGGGCGUAAAGCGUGCGCAGGCGGUUCGUUAAGUCAGAUGUGA